GCAGCAGCAGCAGCAGCAGCAGCCGCCGGCAGCCCUGCCCCACAUGCAGCUAUUUGAGAACUACUACCCCAUGCAUCAGCCGCCUUCACAGCAGCACCAGGACUUUACCCUGGCACCGGGCGGGCCCCUGGGACAGACUCACCUGCCUCACCGCGGCAUGGCCCCCUACCCGUUCCCCCACAACCCAGAACUGCGCAAGGCCCUCCUGCAGGACCCUGCUUCACAGCCCGUGCUACCUCAGCCCCAGAUGGCCUUCCCGCGCCGCUCCCGCCGUCUCUCCAAGGAGGGGAUUCUGCCUUCCAACUCCCUCGAUGGAGCUGGCACCCAACCUGGACAGGAGCCCACGAGCAAUCUGUUCCUCCAUCACUGGUCUUUGCAGCAGCCGCCGCCAGGCGCCCUGGGGCAGCCCCAUUCCGAAGC
This 420-nucleotide long non-coding RNA is filed under the name Rattus norvegicus (Norway rat). RNAcentral describes it as "long non-coding RNA NONRATT024501". The record is from RNAcentral. Lineage: Eukaryota; Metazoa; Chordata; Mammalia; Rodentia; Muridae.